CAGGACUCGCAAGACUCCUACAACCCUGUGAACCUACUAUACGAACGUUGCUUCGGCGGGUGCGCCCCGGGGAUUCGUUCCCGAGGCGCGUCAGCCCGCCGGCAGCCUACAAAUUCUGUUCCUUUGCGUUGGCAUCUCGAGAAAAAACAAAUAAGUUA
Molecule: unclassified non-coding RNA, 158 nt
Filed under: soil metagenome
Description: partial internal transcribed spacer 1
Source: RNAcentral